GUGAUCUGCCCUGCACUUCGGGAUAAGCCCGGGAAACUGGGUCUAAUACCGGAUAGUACUGCGCGGUGCAUGCCGUGUGGUGGAAAGAUUUAUCGGUGCAGGAUGGGCCCGCGGCCUAUCAGCUUGUUGGUGGGGUAAUGGCCUACCAAGGCGACGACGGGUAGCCGGCCUGAGAGGGCGACCGGCCACACUGGGACUGAGACACGGCCCAGACUCCUACGGGAGGCAGCAGUGGGGAAUAUUGCACAAUGGGCGCAAGCCUGAUGCAGCGACGCCGCGUGAGGGAUGACGGCCUUCGGGUUGUAAACCUCUUUCAGCAGGGACGAAGCGCAAGUGACGGUACCUGCAGAAGAAGCACCGGCCAACUACGUGCCAGCAGCCGCGGUAAUACGUAGGGUGCAAGCGUUGUCCGGAAUUACUGGGCGUAAAGAGCUCGUAGGCGGUUUGUCGCGUCGUCUGUGAAAACCAGCAGCUCAACUGUUGGCUUGCAGGCGAUACGGGCAGACUUGAGUAUUUCAGGGGAGACUGGAAUUCCUGGUGUAGCGGUGAAAUGCGCAGAUAUCAGGAGGAACACCGGUGGCGAAGGCGGGUCUCUGGGAAAUAACUGACGCUGAGGAGCGAAAGCGUGGGUAGCGAACAGGAUUAGAUACCCUGGUAGUCCACGCCGUAAACGGUGGGCGCUAGGUGUGGGUUUCCUUCCACGGGAUCCGUGCCGUAGCUAACGCAUUAAGCGCCCCGCCUGGGGAGUAC
This 750-nucleotide ribosomal RNA is filed under the name bacterium W13S50a. RNAcentral describes it as "bacterial SSU rRNA". It matches the Rfam family "Bacterial small subunit ribosomal RNA", at positions 121 to 883 of the family's 1533-position model. The record is from RNAcentral.